CUAAGGCUCCAGAGGAAGCCACGGCUAACUCUGUGCCAGCAGCCGCGGUAAUACAGAGGCGGCAAGCGUUGUCCGGAAUUAUUGGGCGCAAAGAGCACGUAGGCGGCCUUGCAAGUCAGUUGUGAAAGCCUUCCGCUCAACGGAAGAAUGCCAGCUGAUACUACAGGGCUUGAGUACGGGAGGGGAGAGUGGAACUUCUGGUGGAGCGGUGAAAUGCGUAGAUAUCAGAAGGAACGCCGGCGGCGAAAGCGACUCUCUGGCCCGAAACUGACGCUGAGUGUGCGAAAGCUAGGGGAGCAAGCGGGAUUAGAUACCCCGGUAGUCCUAGCCGUAAA
Molecule: ribosomal RNA, 335 nt
Filed under: uncultured Planctomycetales bacterium
Lineage: Bacteria; Pseudomonadati; Planctomycetota; Planctomycetia; Planctomycetales
Description: bacterial SSU rRNA
Rfam family: Bacterial small subunit ribosomal RNA
Source: RNAcentral